RNAcentral lists this ribosomal RNA (253 nucleotides) under uncultured bacterium. Its description in RNAcentral is "partial 16S ribosomal RNA". It matches the Rfam family "Bacterial small subunit ribosomal RNA", at positions 524 to 776 of the family's 1533-position model. The record is from RNAcentral.
UACGGGGGGGGCAAGCGUUGUUCGGAAUUACUGGGCGUAAAGGGCUCGUAGGCGGCCAACUAAGUCAGACGUGAAAUCCCUCGGCUUAACCGGGGAACUGCAUCUGAUACUGGAUGGCUUGAGAUUGGGAGAGGGAUGCGGAAUUCCAGGUGUAGCGGUGAAAUGCGUAGAUAUCUGGAGGAACACCGGUGGCGAAGGCGGCAUCCUGGACCAACACUGACGCUGAGGAGCGAAAGCCAAGGGAGCAAACGGG